Non-coding RNA from Salinomyces thailandicus, 82 nucleotides. The record is from the annotation of a GenBank genome assembly. NCBI's taxonomy places the organism in Eukaryota, Fungi, Ascomycota, Dothideomycetes, Mycosphaerellales, Teratosphaeriaceae.
GGCCGAUUGGCUCAAUGGUAGAGCGUCCGCCUCCUAAUCUGGAUACAGCGGAAGGUUGUGGGUUCGAGUCCCAUGUUGGUCG